RNAcentral lists this ribosomal RNA (387 nucleotides) under Yarrowia lipolytica. RNAcentral's name for it is "partial 28S ribosomal RNA". It matches the Rfam family "Eukaryotic large subunit ribosomal RNA", at positions 101 to 504 of the family's 3401-position model. Lineage: Eukaryota; Fungi; Ascomycota; Dipodascomycetes; Dipodascales. The record is from RNAcentral.
GCAAAAGCUCAAAUUUGAAACCUUCGGGAUUGUAAUUUGAAGAUUUGGCAUUGGAGAAAGCUAACCCAAGUUGCUUGGAAUAGUACGUCAUAGAGGGUGACAACCCCGUCUGGCUAACCGUUCUCCAUGUAUUGCCUUAUCAAAGAGUCGAGUUGUUUGGGAAUGCAGCUCAAAGUGGGUGGUAAACUCCAUCUAAAGCUAAAUACUGGUGAGAGACCGAUAGCGAACAAGUACUGUGAAGGAAAGGUGAAAAGAACUUUGAAAAGAGAGUGAAAUAGUAUGUGAAAUUGUUGAUAGGGAAGGAAAUGAGUGGAGAGUGGUUGAGGUUUCAGCUUGCCUUUGGGCAGGUGUAUUGCCAACGCCGAGUCAUUGACACAGACGGCGGUU